AAAGAAUGGUAAUGAUUUCUGGAGAGGAACAACAGUAAAUACACGCAUUGUAUUUUUCCCAUAUCUGAAGCAUAAGCCAUAGCAAUAUGAUUUAAACUUGCUGUCACCAGAAUGCUUUUUUUUCCUUCUGUAGUAUAUUCUUGUGCUGAGUCUUCACAUCUUAUCCCAGGUUUAAUACAUCUUAGGGAGCAUUAGUAUAACAAAUUUAGAGUGCUUCAAACCUCUAAGGCUUAUUAUUUUAUUACUAGGAUCUUGUAACUUAAGCAUCAUACUGAAGAAAGUUUGUCAACAUUGCCUGAUUAUUUUUAGGGGAAAAAGGGAAAAGGUUCCUGAUUACUAGGAGCUAGGGAGGGGUCACACCUGAGAAAGGAACUCUCAAAUCAGGUGCUUGGUCUAUAUAAGCAUCUCUCACACAUGCAGUUAGUUUGAUAUGAUGAAAACACUCCUUGUAUCCUCAGCAGAGAGGGGCUUCCUAAUAUAGAGCCAUUUCAAGAGAGCUAAAACUAAGACUUCUAAAGAAAUGGCAUUGAAGCUGUUGUUUAUUGAUGAGUCCCAGCUCUCCCCUCCCUCUACAGGAGACAUUCUCCAAGUAAUUUUGGACUAAUGUUUAGCAUUCCUGUCAAGAACUAUGGUUUCAUCCUUAACCUUAGAAAAGCAGAACUUGAGAAGAAUUGGCAGGCACCAGCUCUGGUACAACAUUCUGAGACUACACUUGGAGCAGUAUAUCCUCAUGAACCAUCAAUGGGAAGGGGAUGAAAAGCAAUAACCAUGGACAAAGCCUUGAGGAAAAAAAGAUGCCCACUGCAAUACAUUCUCUUAAUCUUCUAUAUUAGAAGAAGUUCAGAACGGCCAAACAAAGCCAGAAACAAUUCAUAGUCUCCGUAAGUGAUUUUCUAAGAAAUCACAGAAAUAUAUUGCAUAAUAAGUGUAAUAAAACUGUUGGCAUUUUGCA
RNAcentral lists this long non-coding RNA (952 nucleotides) under Anser brachyrhynchus (Pink-footed goose). RNAcentral describes it as "lncRNA (ENSABRG00000018868.1)". The record is from RNAcentral. Lineage: Eukaryota; Metazoa; Chordata; Aves; Anseriformes; Anatidae.